This 404-nucleotide ribosomal RNA is filed under the name uncultured Lachnospiraceae bacterium. RNAcentral describes it as "bacterial SSU rRNA". It matches the Rfam family "Bacterial small subunit ribosomal RNA", at positions 355 to 776 of the family's 1533-position model. The record is from RNAcentral. Lineage: Bacteria; Bacillati; Bacillota; Clostridia; Lachnospirales; Lachnospiraceae.
UGGGGAAUAUUGCACAAUGGGGGAAACCCUGAUGCAGCGACGCCGCGUGAGUGAGGAAGUAUUUCGGUAUGUAAAGCUCUAUCAGCAGGGAAGAAAAUGACGGUACCUGACUAAGAAGCCCCGGCUAACUACGUGCCAGCAGCCGCGGUAAUACGUAGGGGGCAAGCGUUAUCCGGAUUUACUGGGUGUAAAGGGAGCGUAGACGGAAGCGCAAGUCUGAUGUGAAAAUCCGGGGCCCAACCCCGGAACUGCAUUGGAAACUGUGAUUCUAGAGUGUCGGAGAGGCAAGUGGAAUUCCUGGUGUAGCGGUGAAAUGCGUAGAUAUCAGGAGGAACACCAGUGGCGAAGGCGGCUUGCUGGACGAUGACUGACGUUGAGGCUCGAAAGCGUGGGGAGCAAACAGG